Molecule: ribosomal RNA, 292 nt
Filed under: uncultured bacterium
Lineage: Bacteria
Description: partial 16S ribosomal RNA
Rfam family: Bacterial small subunit ribosomal RNA
Source: RNAcentral
GUGUCAGCCGCCGCGGUAAUACGUAGGGGGCAAGCGUUGUUCGGAGUUACUGUGCGUAAAGAGUAUGUAGGCGGUUGACCAAGUUUGGUGUGAAAUCUCCCGGCUUAACUGGGAGGGUGCGCCGAAUACUGGUUGACUGGAGCGUGGGAGAGGAAAGCGGAAUUCCUGGUGUAGCGGUGAAAUGCGUAGAUAUCAGGAGGAACACCGGCGGUGUAGACGGCUUUCUGGACCACGGCUGACGCUGAGAUACGAAAGCGUGGGUAGCAAACAGGAUUAGAUACCCCGGUAGUCC